This 90-nucleotide non-coding RNA is filed under the name human gut metagenome. Its description in RNAcentral is "TPP riboswitch (THI element)". It matches the Rfam family "TPP riboswitch aptamer (THI element)", at positions 6 to 97 of the family's 105-position model. Rfam says of the family: Vitamin B(1) in its active form thiamin pyrophosphate (TPP) is an essential coenzyme that is synthesised by coupling of pyrimidine and thiazole moieties in bacteria. The previously detected thiamin-regulatory element, thi box was extended, resulting in a new, highly conserved RNA secondary structure, the THI element, which is widely distributed in eubacteria and also occurs in some archaea. Analysis of operon structures identified a large number of new candidate thiamin-regulated genes, mostly transporters, in various prokaryotic organisms. The record is from RNAcentral.
UUGUCUGGGGAGCUGUUACGGCUGAGAGGGACGAAAGAUGUCCGACCCAUGAACCUGAUUCGGAUAAUUCCGGCGUAGGAAGAUAGAUUU